RNAcentral lists this ribosomal RNA (417 nucleotides) under uncultured bacterium. Its description in RNAcentral is "bacterial SSU rRNA". It matches the Rfam family "Bacterial small subunit ribosomal RNA", at positions 358 to 773 of the family's 1533-position model. The record is from RNAcentral.
GGAAUAUUGGUCAAUGGGUGAGAGCCUGAACCAGCCAUGCCGCGUGCAGGAAGACGGCCUUCUGGGUUGUAAACUGCUUUUACCAGGGGAUAAAAAGAGCCUGCGUGCUUAAUUGAAGGUACCUGGAGAAUAAGCACCGGCUACCAACGUGCCAGCAGCCGCGGUAAUACGUAGGGUGCCAGCGUUGUCCGGAUUUAUUGGGUUUAAAGGGUGCUUAGGCGGGCUAUUAAGUCAGUGGUGAAAUCCAGCAGCUUAACUGUUGAUGUGCCAUUGAUACUGGUAGCCUUGAGUACAGAUGAGGUAGGCGGAAUUGACAGUGUAGCGGUGAAAUGCAUAGAUAUUGUCAAGAACUCCGAUAGCGAAGGCAGCUUACUGGGCUGUAACUGACGCUGAUGCACGAAAGUGUGGGGAUCAAAC